AACGAACGCUGGCGGCAUGCCUAACACAUGCAAGUCGAACGAGACCUUCGGGUCUAGUGGCGCACGGGUGCGUAACGCGUGGGAACCUGCCCUUAGGUUCGGAAUAACUCCCCGAAAGGGGUGCUAAUACCGGAUAAUGUCUUCGGACCAAAGAUUUAUCGCCUUUGGAUGGGCCCGCGUUGGAUUAGCUAGUUGGUAGGGUAAAAGCCUACCAAGGCGACGAUCCAUAGCUGGUCUGAGAGGAUGAGCAGCCACACUGGGAGUGAGACACGGCCCAGACUCCUACGGGAGGCAGCAGUAGGGAAUAGUAGACAAUGGGCGAGAGCCUGAUCCAGCAAUGCCGCGUGAGUGAUGAAGGCCUUAGGGUUGUAAAGCUCUUUUACCCGGGAUGAUAAUGACAGUACCGGGAGAAUAAGCUCCGGCUAACUCCGUGC
Molecule: ribosomal RNA, 434 nt
Filed under: uncultured bacterium
Lineage: Bacteria
Description: partial 16S ribosomal RNA
Rfam family: Bacterial small subunit ribosomal RNA
Source: RNAcentral